GACGAACGCUGGCGGCGUGCUUAACACAUGCAAGUCGAACGGUAAGGCCCUUCGGGGUACACGAGUGGCGAACGGGUGAGUAACACGUGGGUGAUCCGCCCUGCACUUCGGGAUAAGCCUGGGAAACUGGGUCUAAUACCGGAUAGGACCCUGGGAUGCAUGUCCUGGGGUGGAAAGCUUUUGCGGUGUGGGAUGGGCCCGCGGCCUAUCAGCUUGUUGGUGGGGUGAUGGCCUACCAAGGCGACGACGGGUAGCCGGCCUGAGAGGGUGACCGGCCACACUGGGACUGAGAUACGGCCCAGACGCCUACGGGGGGCAGCAGUGGGGAAUAUUGCACAAUGGGCGCAAGCCUGAUGCAGCGACGCCGCGUGAGGGAUGACGGCCUUCGGGUUGUAAACCUCUUUCAGCACCGACGAAGCGCAAGUGACGGUAGGUGCAGAAGAAGGACCGGCCAACUACGUGCCAGCCGCCGCCGUAA
RNAcentral lists this ribosomal RNA (478 nucleotides) under uncultured bacterium. RNAcentral's name for it is "partial 16S ribosomal RNA". It matches the Rfam family "Bacterial small subunit ribosomal RNA", at positions 28 to 523 of the family's 1533-position model. The record is from RNAcentral.